RNAcentral lists this ribosomal RNA (806 nucleotides) under Arthrobacter sp. PCA1-16_Pa. RNAcentral describes it as "bacterial SSU rRNA". It matches the Rfam family "Bacterial small subunit ribosomal RNA", at positions 60 to 878 of the family's 1533-position model. Lineage: Bacteria; Bacillati; Actinomycetota; Actinomycetes; Micrococcales; Micrococcaceae. The record is from RNAcentral.
AGUCGAACGAUGAUCCCAGCUUGCUGGGGGAUUAGUGGCGAACGGGUGAGUAACACGUGAGUAACCUGCCCUUGACUCUGGGAUAAGCCUGGGAAACUGGGUCUAAUACCGGAUAUGACCAUUCCACGCAUGUGGUGGUGGUGGAAAGCUUUUGUGGUUUUGGAUGGACUCGCGGCCUAUCAGCUUGUUGGUGGGGUAAUGGCCUACCAAGGCGACGACGGGUAGCCGGCCUGAGAGGGUGACCGGCCACACUGGGACUGAGACACGGCCCAGACUCCUACGGGAGGCAGCAGUGGGGAAUAUUGCACAAUGGGCGCAAGCCUGAUGCAGCGACGCCGCGUGAGGGAUGACGGCCUUCGGGUUGUAAACCUCUUUCAGUAGGGAAGAAGCGAAAGUGACGGUACCUGCAGAAGAAGCGCCGGCUAACUACGUGCCAGCAGCCGCGGUAAUACGUAGGGCGCAAGCGUUAUCCGGAAUUAUUGGGCGUAAAGAGCUCGUAGGCGGUUUGUCGCGUCUGCUGUGAAAGACCGGGGCUCAACUCCGGUUCUGCAGUGGGUACGGGCAGACUAGAGUGCAGUAGGGGAGACUGGAAUUCCUGGUGUAGCGGUGAAAUGCGCAGAUAUCAGGAGGAACACCGAUGGCGAAGGCAGGUCUCUGGGCUGUAACUGACGCUGAGGAGCGAAAGCAUGGGGAGCGAACAGGAUUAGAUACCCUGGUAGUCCAUGCCGUAAACGUUGGGCACUAGGUGUGGGGGACAUUCCACGUUUUCCGCGCCGUAGCUAACGCAUUAAGUGCCCCGCCUGGGG